Molecule: ribosomal RNA, 442 nt
Filed under: uncultured bacterium
Lineage: Bacteria
Description: partial 16S ribosomal RNA
Rfam family: Bacterial small subunit ribosomal RNA
Source: RNAcentral
CCUACGGGAGGCAGCAGUGGGGAAUAUUGGGCACUGGGCGCAAGCCUGACCCAGCAACGCCGCGUGAAGGAAGAAGGCUUUCGGGUUGUAAACUUCUGUGAAGAGGGAAGAGCAGAAGAAGGUACCUCUUGAAUAAGCCACGGCGAACUACGUGCCAGCAGCCGCGGUAAUACGUAGGUGGCAAGCGUUGUCCGGAUUUAGUGGGUGUAAAGGGCGUGUAGCCGGGCUGACAAGUCAGAUGUGAAAUCCGGGGGCUCAACCCCCGAACUGCAUUUGAAACUGUUGGUCUUGAGUAUCGGAGAGGCAGGCGGAAUUCCUAGUGUAGCGGUGAAAUGCGUAGAUAUUAGGAGGAACCCCAGUGGCGAAGGCGACCUGCUGGACGACAACUGACGGUGAGGCGCGAAAGCGUGGGGAGCAAACAGGAUUAGAUACCCCGGUAGUC